RNAcentral lists this ribosomal RNA (492 nucleotides) under uncultured bacterium. RNAcentral's name for it is "partial 16S ribosomal RNA". It matches the Rfam family "Bacterial small subunit ribosomal RNA", at positions 29 to 507 of the family's 1533-position model. The record is from RNAcentral.
AGUGAACGCUGGCGGUAGGCCUAACACAUGCAAGUCGAACGGCAGCACAGUAAGAGCUUGCUCUUACGGGUGGCGAGUGGCGGACGGGUGAGGAAUACAUCGGAAUCUACUUUUUCGUGGGGGAUAACGUAGGGAAACUUACGCUAAUACCGCAUACGACCUACGGGUGAAAGCAGGGGAUCUUCGGACCUUGCGCGAUUGAAUGAGCCGAUGUCGGAUUAGCUAGUUGGCGGGGUAAAGGCCCACCAAGGCGACGAUCCGUAGCUGGUCUGAGAGGAUGAUCAGCCACACUGGAACUGAGACACGGUCCAGACUCCUACGGGAGGCAGCAGUGGGGAAUAUUGGACAAUGGGCGCAAGCCUGAUCCAGCCAUACCGCGUGGGUGAAGAAGGCCUUCGGGUUGUAAAACCCUUUUAUUAGGAAAGAAAAACAGCAGGUUAAUACCCCGCUGUUCUGACGGUACCCAAAGAAUAAGCACCGGCUAACUUCGUG